This is a long non-coding RNA of Saccostrea cuccullata (small rock oyster), 319 nucleotides long. RefSeq lists it as uncharacterized. The transcript has 3 exons. The record is from RefSeq and is a predicted model, not a curated record. Lineage: Eukaryota; Metazoa; Mollusca; Bivalvia; Ostreida; Ostreidae.
CGUGAUUUUAUCAUUCAGCAAUCCUGUCUGCAAAAUGUUGACAGAGAAAGUGCUCUGUUUCCUCAUCAUUUGUAUUGUCUUGGAAAGUCCAGUUCUCUUACUGCCUUAUGAAAGAGAUCAAGGUUUUUUGCUCCGAAGGAGAAAGAGAUAUGACGACAAAGAUGAAUCUGUAUCAAUAGGAGAUACAAUGGUCCAAAACAACGGAUCUGUGUUCAAUUCUAUGGGAGCUCUAGGGUGAAAAAUGCAACAUUUUAGAAUUAUCGAACACUUCAGAACACAUUGAUUCACAAAAUAAUUUUAUACAAUAUAUCAAUAAACA